CCCCUACGGGAGGCAGCAGUAGGGAAUCUUCCGCAAUGGGCGAAAGCCUGACGGAGCAACGCCGCGUGAGUGAAGAAGGUCUUCGGAUCGUAAAGCUCUGUUGUUAGAGAAGAACAGCGCAUAGAGUAACUGUUAUGCGUGUGACGGUAUCUAACCAGAAAGCCACGGCUAACUACGUGCCAGCAGCCGCGGUAAUGGGG
RNAcentral lists this ribosomal RNA (200 nucleotides) under uncultured bacterium. RNAcentral describes it as "partial 16S ribosomal RNA". It matches the Rfam family "Bacterial small subunit ribosomal RNA", at positions 336 to 528 of the family's 1533-position model. The record is from RNAcentral.